RNAcentral lists this ribosomal RNA (377 nucleotides) under uncultured bacterium. Its description in RNAcentral is "bacterial SSU rRNA". It matches the Rfam family "Bacterial small subunit ribosomal RNA", at positions 524 to 898 of the family's 1533-position model. The record is from RNAcentral.
GACGGAGGGUGCAAACGUUGUUCGGAAUCACUGGGCAUAAAGCGCACGUAGGCGGUCCGCUAAGUCAGUUGUGAAAUCCCUCGGCUCAACCGAGGAGCUGCACCUGAUACUGGCGGGCUCGAGAACGGUAGGGGUGAGUGGAACUCCAGGUGGAGCGGUGAAAUGCGUAGAUAUCUGGAGGAACACCGGUGGCGAAGGCGGCUCACUGGACCGUAUCUGACGCUGAGGUGCGAAAGCUAGGGUAGCAAACGGGAUUAGAUACCCCGGUAGUCCUAGCCGUAAACGAUGGGUACUAGGCAAUGGGAAUACCUAUGUUUCUCAUUGCCGGAGCAAAUGUAUUAAGUACCCCGCCUGGGGAGUACGCUCGCAAGGGUGAA